AUGUGCCUUUUUCCUGGAAGAAGGGAGUGUACCCUGGAGCCUAGCACCCUCCGGAGAGGUCCUGCUGACCAGCCGAGGGGCAGCAGCCUUGCUGGGGGACGUCGUCUGGGAACCACCACUGGCCGGUUGCCGUGGGUUCAGGAGUCCGAGUGCACAGUGGUUGCCUUGGGGAUGCUGGAAGAGGCAGCAUUUCCGGCCAGCCCAGUGAAAUACCACCUCCCCCAGCGUCUCCCGCCAACAGGAAGAACUUCUUGUGUUCCCAUCUCUCUUCUGCUGCCUCUCUGACCACCUCCCUCCUUCAUCCUGACAAGUGCAAACCGAGUCUCCACGUCCAUGUACUUUCACUGCAUUAAAAUUUCCAAGUUGGUACUUUUCCCAUGUUGAGUGCUCUUUGGGUGGAAUGUGCAUGUUGACAUCCACAAAACCCCUUUUCUGCACAGGUAGGUGGCCUGCAGCUCUGCUCAGGAGGGUCUGGUCCAGUCACAUGAGCCUUAGAGAAUGCAUCCUGCCCCGUGUCCUUUCUAUGUUCCAACACCUGGGAUCCCACUGGCUCCUGUUACAACCGAGCCAGGACCAACAGUAACAACACCAGCACCACCCCUGCGACAGCAGCUCCCUUUUAUAAAGCAUCUCUUACCUGCCCAGGUGUAGACUGACUGCUUUCCAUGCGGGCGUGCUUAGUCGCUCAGUCGUGUCUGACUCUUUCUGACCCCAUAGACCGCAGCCCACCAGGCUCCUCUGUCCAUGAGAGUCUCCAGGCAAGAACACUGGAGUGGGUUGCCAUCCCCUCCUCCUAGGGAUCUUCCCAGCUCAGAGAUCGAACCCAGGUCUCCCGCACUGCAGUGGUUUCUUUACCGUCUGAGCCACAGGGGAAGCCUCUUAGCAAUUCUUGCAGCAUCCUCUUGAAUAUGUAAUGUGAUUCCCAUUUUACAGAUGAGAAAACUGAGGCUUGGAGAAAAAUAACUGGAUUUAAUGUCAUACCAAAUUUCCUAAAGGAAAUCAGCCCUGAAUAUUUAUUGGAAGGACUCAUGCUGAAGCUGAAGCUCCACUUCUAUGGCCACCUGAUGUGAAGAGCUGACUCACCUCAAAAGACCCUGAUGCUGGGAAACAUUGAAGGCAGGAGGAGAAGGAGGUGAUAGAGGAUGAGAUGGUUGAGUGGCAUCACUAACUCUAUGGACAUGAGUGAGCAAACUCUGGGAGACAGAGGAGGCUAGGGAAGCCUGGAGGAUAGGGAAGCCUGUCGCACUGCAGUCCAUGGAGUCGGAGUCAGAAAUGACUUAAUGACUGAACAACAGCUAGGAGACUGGGCAUGGUAACUAUUUUUCAGUCUGCUUAGGAACUUUCCUAUUGUCAGAAGUUAAAGAAUAAUUUUCCCCAAAAAAGGCAAAAUCAUGACUCUCCUACUCUACAUGUAUUAAAGAUUUUAUUUGGCUUGGUAAUUAGUGAGGAAACUAGGCAGAUGUUACAGCUAAUCCAAAGGAGAAAUCUAAAAAGUGUAAAUUUACAUGGAGUGAAGGAAAGUGGAGGUGAAUUGACAAAUAGUUGGAAACUGGCUCUUUCCUUAAGGAAGAGGGAAAUCUAUUGAACCACCAGACAGAAUUUAUUUGCAUGUCUAUAGACAAAGAAUUAUUUUGCAUUGCUAUCGGUUAUCUACAACUUACAGGACCGUAAAACAGUGCAAAGACACUGAAAGGCUAGAAUCAGACAGCCUACAAGGAUGUUCUCUGAACGGCCCCAUUUUUUCCAUCAGCAACACCCAGUGAUCUUGGGGAUUUAUUCCAGGUUUCGUCACGGGAACAAGUCUAGACAAUCUUAGCACCUCAUUCUGCCUGAUAAUAGCAGUUAAUAUCAGGAGUGAGAAAUCAGAAUGCUUCCCUGAUGGCUCAGGGGUAAAGAAUUCACCUGCAAUACAGGAGAUGCGAGUUUGAGUCCUGGGUUGGGACGAUCCCCUGGAGGAGGGCAUGGCAGCCCCCUCCAGUAUUCUGGCCUGGGAAAUCCCAUGGGCAGAGGAGCCUGGCGGGCUGCAGUCCAUGGGGUUGCACAGAGUCGGUCACAACUGAAGCACUAACACUUUCGCAACAGAGAGUGCAGGAUAGCAGAUUGGGCGAGGACCUGCUCCUAUCCCUGGUGCCCUGAUGCCGCCCUCCCCCCACACCUCCCCCCAGGGGGUGGGGAUGUUUCUAGAAGGUUCUAGAAGCUGCUACAGUCCUUCCCCCGCCUCAGAUUCUUCCAGCAACCCAGUAUCCUUUCCAGCUACCAAAGCCAAUCCUUGUCACUCUUUUCUGUUUUUUUUCCCUAAGAGCCUUUGAGUUAUAUGUUUUUCCAUGAAGAAUCUUGACUUAUACAGCUAUUAAGUGACAAAGUGAGUUUAAAAACCUCACCUGCCUAAAAUGCAUAGCUGAGUUUUUCAGUUUCCCCACCUGCAAAUAGGGUUAUUAUUGUACCUACCCCGCUGGGUUAUUGUGGAGAUCAGGUACAUCCAUCCAUCUAAAGCUCCGAAAAGAUUGCCUGGUGCCUAAAGUACUCAACACAAGUUCAUUUUAUCAUCAGUUCUAUUUGGCCAAUGGAUAAACUGAGCCGAGGAUGUCAUGAACUUCACCCAAAGUCAUGGACUUGCCACCAUUUAUGAGCAAAUGGCAGGAUGGGCUGCUGAACCCGGGCAGUGAUCAGAGCCUGCUGGCUUCUCUUGGAUGCUGGAGAAGCCAUCUAGGGGCCUCCCUGCAGGUCUGGUGGUUAAGACUUGGAGCUUCCAUUGCAGGGGCCACAGGUUCCAGCCCUGGUUGGGGAACUAAGAUCCCACCUGCUAUGGGGAGUGGCCAAAAUAAAUGAAUAAAUAAACUGCCA
RNAcentral lists this long non-coding RNA (2844 nucleotides) under Bos indicus x Bos taurus (hybrid cattle). RNAcentral's name for it is "lncRNA (ENSBIXG00000006401.1)". Lineage: Eukaryota; Metazoa; Chordata; Mammalia; Artiodactyla; Bovidae. The record is from RNAcentral.